Molecule: ribosomal RNA, 690 nt
Filed under: uncultured bacterium
Lineage: Bacteria
Description: bacterial SSU rRNA
Rfam family: Bacterial small subunit ribosomal RNA
Source: RNAcentral
AACGCUGGCGGCGUGCUUAACACAUGCAAGUCGAGCGGAAAGGCCCUUCGGGGUACUCGAGCGGCGAACGGGUGAGUAACACGUGAGUAACCUGCCCCAGGCUUUGGGAUAACCCUCGGAAACGGGGGCUAAUACCGGAUAUUCAUGCGGUGUGGCAUCACAUUGUGUGGAAAGUUUUUCGGCGUGGGAUGGGCUCGCGGCCUAUCAGCUUGUUGGUGGGGUGAUGGCCUACCAAGGCGACGACGGGUAGCCGGCCUGAGAGGGCGACCGGCCACACUGGGACUGAGACACGGCCCAGACUCCUACGGGAGGCAGCAGUGGGGAAUAUUGCACAAUGGGCGGAAGCCUGAUGCAGCGACGCCGCGUGAGGGAUGAAGGCCUUCGGGUUGUAAACCUCUUUCGACAGGGACGAAGCGUGAGUGACGGUACCUGGAGAAGAAGCGCCGGCCAACUACGUGCCAGCAGCCGCGGUAAGACGUAGGGCGCGAGCGUUGUCCGGAUUUAUUGGGCGUAAAGAGCUCGUAGGCGGCUUGUUGCGUCAGCUGUGAAAACCCGCAGCUCAACUGUGGGCUUGCAGCUGAUACGGGCAGGCUUGAGUUCGGUAGGGGAGACUGGAAUUCCUGGUGUAGCGGUGAAAUGCGCAGAUAUCAGGAGGAACACCGGUGGCGAAAGCGGGUCUCUGGGCCGAUA